This 465-nucleotide ribosomal RNA is filed under the name Vreelandella stevensii. RNAcentral describes it as "partial 16S ribosomal RNA". It matches the Rfam family "Bacterial small subunit ribosomal RNA", at positions 338 to 795 of the family's 1533-position model. Lineage: Bacteria; Pseudomonadati; Pseudomonadota; Gammaproteobacteria; Oceanospirillales; Halomonadaceae. The record is from RNAcentral.
CCUACGGGGGGCAGCAGUGGGGAAUAUUGGACAAUGGGGGCAACCCUGAUCCAGCCAUGCCGCGUGUAUGAAGAAGGCCCUCGGGUUGUAAGGCACUUUCAGUGAGGAAGAACGCCUGGUGGUUAAUACCCAUCAGGAAAGACAUCACUCACAGAAGAAGCACCGGCUAACUCCGUGCCAGCAGCCGCGGUAAUACGGAGGGUGCGAGCGUUAAUCGGAAUUACUGGGCGUAAAGCGCGCGUAGGUGGCUUGAUAAGCCGGUUGUGAAAGCCCCGGGCUCAACCUGGGAACGGCAUCCGGAACUGUCAAGCUAGAGUGCAGGAGAGGAAGGUAGAAUUCCCGGUGUAGCGGUGAAAUGCGUAGAGAUCGGGAGGAAUACCAGUGGCGAAGGCGGCCUUCUGGACUGACACUGACACUGAGGUGCGAAAGCGUGGGUAGCAAACAGGAUUAGAUACCCUUGUAGUC